GGAAAGGGAGGUGGGUUCGGUUGGGGGAGGGGGUGUAGAAGGAGGAGGAGGGAGGCGCGACGCGCGGGAUGGGAAAGGGAGGUGGGUUCAGUUGGGGGAGAGGGUGUAGAAUAGUUAUAUGGUCCGCUGCGUCGCCGACCGGUUCCCGGGCCUCACCGAUGUCUUCCUCGACCACGGCCUCUACAUCGCCGCCGGCGCCUCCGCCGCUGCCGCGGAGCGGAGCAGGGCACAAGAUUGGGAUAACGAAAGCCCCAAGUCAGAUGAGCAACAUAUGCAGUGUUCCACACCAAGUGAAGAUACGCAAGAAGAAAAUGGCAGUGACGGUGUCAACCCAACCUCAUUUACUGAUGCUGGGCUACUUCAUCUCAUUGAGGGAUAUUUAAGUUUUAAUGUCUUGAGGGUUGCAAAGGGCUUGAAAAGCUGACUCUAAACUGGUUUUUGCACAUUUCUGAAAAGGGGCUAGGUGGGAAUUGCAAAUCAUUGCCGGAAUCUGCAAUCGUUAGUGCUUUCGGUAAUUUCUUGUUAGUUGUACUUGUUCUGUUUUCUUUCGUGCAUUCAAUAUUGUUUCACAUGUAGCAUGAUCUGCUUUCAUUUCCAAGGCGGGAAAAUCUUUCAAACUAUGAAGAAAUUAAUGCUUCCUUAUGGUGAAUGGUGAUCAUAGAUGCCUCUUUUAUUUUAACUAUUUUUUCGAAUGAAACUUGAGGAUCAUAUUGUAGCAAUAGUGAGUUCCGUUGUGGUAAUGGUCUCCUUUUUGAGGUUUAUCAUUGUUCAAGCCAGCAGUUCAUGUUGUAAACUUUGCAUUGAGGUUUCAUUUCAUGCUGAUAUUUAGUGUUGUAUUCCCCCGAGUUUCAUUGUUUAUUGACAACAUUUCUUACAAGGUGGUUAUGUUCAAAACCAUGGGUUGAUUACUCUGGCAGAGGGUUGCAAUCUUAGUGAAUUAAAGCUGUGUGGUGUUCAAGAGUUGACGGACGAAGGACUGGUUGAAUUUGUAAAGAUACAUAGUAAAUUAUUGGUCUCUCUUGAUAUUUCUUUCUGCAAUGGUUGCAUUACAGACAGAUCCCUGUAUGCUAUUGGAACCUACUGCCAUAACUUGGAAGUCCUAUCCGUGGAGUCCAAGCAUGUUAAUGAAAACAAAGGAAUAAUCUCUGUUGCAAAGGAUGCCAAUAUUUGGAAUCCUUAAAGAUGGUAUGGCUUGGUGUCGGCGACGAAGCUUUAGAAGCUAUUGGUUCAUCUUGCUCUGCAUUAGAAAAUCUGUCACUUGACAACCUUAAUAAGUGCUCAGACAGGUAAUAGGUCCAAUUAUUAAAUCUACUGUUGCAUUUUUACAGGGAUGGAAGUAUCGGUGUCUCAUUUCUCUUAGAAAUUUGAUAUAGCUUAUACUGAUACUGCAUUGUGAUGCUUAUAGACUUGAAGAGUAGAAAUGCUGAACCAUUUGUUAACAAUUGUUUUAUAUUUUUUUUAUAUUGAUUUGAACACAUGCUCUUUUCUUAAUUUCAGUAGUGAGCCACCUGAGUAUAAGUUCUAAAUAAUAUGGUUCUGGUAAUUGACAUCGAUGGUGUAUCUUAAAUAUUCUGCCACCGAUAGUGACAAGUUAUUGAAUUUUAGCAACAUUUCUCAUAUCUUCAGUAAUCAACAGUACUUCCUCCAUUUUUUUAUGUGGAGUUGGUUAGUUUAAAAUUGAACUGGUAGAAAAAAAAUCUAAUGCAGUAAGCACAAUGAUUGAUGGAAUAAAUGAACAGAUGUGCCAAUUGCGGUCUCUGAAUGAAUGGUAAUUUACCUCUGAAUGAAUAUUUCAUGUGUUGUUUCUGCUAUUAGGUUGAACAACGGUUUCUUUUUUAUGAGUAUUAUUUUUCAACGUAAUCUGGUUAUUGAUCUACCAAUGGUUCACAUGUAUGGUGUUGGCUUGGGGGUCCAGUCUCCUGCCUGUGAUGUGUGCCAAGAUAGACUACUGCAGAAUACAGCUUAUAAAUACUGGACUGCCGACAUAAUUGGACAAUCCGUUGCUUCCCUUAAUGUAACUUCUGGAAGAAGCUGGACCUAUAACUUAUGGAUGGCAAGAAGUGGCAGUGCUCGGAGGAGGCUGCCCUGGACUCCCAAGUACUGUGAGCACUACAUGCCCGUUAGAUCUGGGGUGAUUGUUCAUUUCUUUUUUUUUUUCUCAAAUGCCAUAUUUCAGUAACCUGCUAUAUACUCUUUGAUUAUUUGAAAAAGUGCAAUUGUCUAACUGAUUGGUGUCAUAUGUAUGCAGUAAUGCCUUUUUA
Oryza sativa Japonica Group (Japanese rice) is the source of this 2261-nucleotide long non-coding RNA. RefSeq lists it as uncharacterized. NCBI's taxonomy places the organism in Eukaryota, Viridiplantae, Streptophyta, Magnoliopsida, Poales, Poaceae. The record is from RefSeq and is a predicted model, not a curated record.